GAUGAACGCUGGCGGCGUGCUUAACACAUGCAAGUCGAACGAUGAAGCCCAGCUUGCUGUGUGGAUUAGUGGCGAACGGGUGAGUAACACGUGAGUAACCUGCCCUUAACUCUGGGAUAAGCCUGGUAAACUGGGUCUAAUACCGGAUAGGAGCGUCCACCGCAUGGUGGGUGUUGGAAAGAUUUAUCGGUUUUGGAUGGACUCGCGGCCUAUCAGCUUGUUGGUGAGGUAAUGGCUCACCAAGGCGACGACGGGUAGCCGGCCUGAGAGGGUGAACGGCCACACGGGGACUGAGACACGGCCCAGAAUCCUACGGGAGGCAGCAGUGGGGAAUAUUGCACAAUGGGCGCAAGCCUGAUGCAGCGACGCCGCGUGAGGGAUGACGGCCUUCGGGUUGUAAACCUAUUUCAGUAGGGAAGAAGCGAAAGUGACGGUACCUGCAGAAGAAGCAACGGCUAACUACGUG
This 466-nucleotide ribosomal RNA is filed under the name uncultured bacterium. Its description in RNAcentral is "partial 16S ribosomal RNA". It matches the Rfam family "Bacterial small subunit ribosomal RNA", at positions 28 to 507 of the family's 1533-position model. The record is from RNAcentral.